RNAcentral lists this long non-coding RNA (950 nucleotides) under Homo sapiens (human). Its description in RNAcentral is "HSALNT0054552". The record is from RNAcentral. Lineage: Eukaryota; Metazoa; Chordata; Mammalia; Primates; Hominidae.
GGGCUGGCCGCAGGAAGCGACUACAGCAGCGACGGAAGCGGUGUGGGCCGCCAUCUUGGCCCACCUGCUGAUCCUCCACCUGACCGGAGCCCGCCGUGCAUAGGCUGAUAGGAGACGUGCGGGGUGGACGGACUGCGGGACAUCUGAAGGAAGGGCUCAAGGCGCGCCAAGCUCAAAGCUGGGCCGCCACUCUAGACCGUGGAGGGAAGCGCCCGGGCCAGAUCAUCGGUCGAGGACAUGGGGUCGCCUCAGAGUGGGAAGGUGAGGGGCUCGGGAGGUGCCCUUACAAGCUCUGAAUCGUGGCUUGGUGGCUGGCCAGCCUCCUCCUGCCUCCCCGGCUAGGCCCUCGGGGUCCCCCGCUGCCGUGGGACCUCCUGAGUGGGGUCCCGGGAAUCACCAGAGAAGCACUGGAGGAUGUUUCCUUUUCGACUGCCCUCCUUUCAAGUGCCCUCCUGGCUGCCUGCCUUCAAGGCAGGAUGCGGGAACCGUUGGCUCUACUCAGUGCAAAAAGGACAUGUCUAUAGGGCUAAAAAGGGCUUGGAGCCCGGCGACAAGGGUUGGAGAGGGGCACAUCCUCUGCUCCCAUUCAGUGAAUUCAGUGGAUCAGUAUCACGUAUUUAUCUUUAAUUCACAUCACAGCAGUCAAGGAAGUGGGGAAAGGGGGAAAAAAAAUCAAGUGGCAGAUAUUUACAUCUAAAAUUCACAUUACUUGUUGGAUUUUGAACAUGCUACCACAAUAUAUACAGUAAAAUACCUCUUGGGACAAUGGUACAAAUUUUGUUUCCUUUAACUUUGCUUUUCUGGUACAGGUAAGAUCAUUUUUAAAUCACUUUUUUUCUUUAAACAUGAAUACACAAAAGAAAUGGUUAGAAGUUUCCUUGUUUUAAAUAAGCACAGAAUGCGGGAGGUUAAAAACACAUUUAUAGUGCUGAAUACCAAUUGGACAUCAC